RNAcentral lists this ribosomal RNA (253 nucleotides) under uncultured bacterium. RNAcentral describes it as "partial 16S ribosomal RNA". It matches the Rfam family "Bacterial small subunit ribosomal RNA", at positions 524 to 776 of the family's 1533-position model. The record is from RNAcentral.
UACGAAGGGAGCUAGCGUUGUUCGGAAUCACUGGGCGUAAAGCGCACGUGGGCGGAUUUGCCAGUCAGGGGUGAAAUCCCGGGGCUCAACCUCGGAACUGCCUUUGAUACAGCAAGUCUUGAGUUCGAGAGAGGUGGGUGGAAUUCCUAGUGUAGAGGUGAAAUUCGUAGAUAUUAGGAAGAACACCGGUGGCGAAGGCGGCCCACUGGCUCGACACUGACGCUGAGGUGCGAAAGCGUGGGGAGCAAACAGG